GUGCUACAAUGGUCGGUACAGAGGGUUGCCAAGCCGCGAGGUGGAGCUAAUCCCAUAAAACCGAUCGUAGUCCGGAUCGCAGUCUGCAACUCGACUGCGUGAAGUCGGAAUCGCUAGUAAUCGCGAAUCAGAAUGUCGCGGUGAAUACGUUCCCGGGCCUUGUACACACCGCCCGUCACACCAUGGGAGUGGGUUGCACCAGAAGUAGCUAGUCUAACCUUCGGGAGGACGGUUACCACGGUGUGAUUCAUGACUGG
This 257-nucleotide ribosomal RNA is filed under the name Klebsiella pneumoniae. RNAcentral's name for it is "partial 16S ribosomal RNA". It matches the Rfam family "Bacterial small subunit ribosomal RNA", at positions 1222 to 1478 of the family's 1533-position model. The record is from RNAcentral. Lineage: Bacteria; Pseudomonadati; Pseudomonadota; Gammaproteobacteria; Enterobacterales; Enterobacteriaceae.